This is a long non-coding RNA of Venturia canescens, 3903 nucleotides long. RefSeq lists it as uncharacterized. Lineage: Eukaryota; Metazoa; Arthropoda; Insecta; Hymenoptera; Ichneumonidae. The record is from RefSeq and is a predicted model, not a curated record. The transcript has 2 exons.
CCCGGUGCCGGGAGGGUCGUGCGUCUUCCUCGCACGUUUCGAAUCAUCGCGUGUCCCUUCGCUAGAGUUUACGACGCUCCUAUAAUUCGCUCGUUUCUCUCGCUCUUCCCUCCCUCUUUCACUCUAUUUUGUUGUCUUUCGUUCGCGCUUAUUCCCGUGCUUUUUUCGCGCGUGAACGGGUUACGUUUUUACUCGGACAUUUUUCGCGGGAGGUCGUGGGAGUUUCCUGCGAUUGUUUAGCGAUUUGGCGACAGCUCGGAUCGAACGAGUAUAGUUCGAAACAAUUUGUCCGUUUUUUGUUUACUUUUUUUUUGUUUAUUCGAAGAAAAAAGCGAUCGAGCGAGUGCGAGAAUCCCGAUUGAAUCGAAAUUGAUUCGUCGACGAGAGGUUGAGACUUUUUCACGAAGAUCUCGGACCGAUUUCGGCCGUCUUUCCCAGCGACUGCGGUAUCAGUAUCGCAGUCGUGCGCGCGUGUUCUUAUCGUCGCGAACGUUUGACCUACGAACUUUGGCGCACUAGCGUCGCGCGAUAGCUCCCGAGUUCGCCUCGGGAGCUAUCGUCCACUCUUUUACAUGAUCGCCAGUAACGCGAGACAAGUUCGAUCAGCAGUUCGGAACGACGAGAUGGAGUCGCCAAAAUGGUAUGACAGUUCGACCCAGGAGACGUUUCUCGGGCGGAUCUCUACGCGGAGCCGCAUUUUUGCCAACGGACAGCCGGCGAGGGGGCGAGAUUAACUCGAAUUAACGUUAAUUGAGCUCGUCGCCCAUCCCCGGUUCUCUCUUCGAAGCAACCUCCACCUACGCGUCUGUGAGACGCCAAGUUUCUACAUUUCUCACGCACACACUAAUUUUCACCCUCAAAAAACUAUCGCGGUCGUAUUAUGAAGACAACGGAAGACUAAGAGACGACGAAAUUUAACGAAUGAGAACCUCCUCGAGCGCUCGAGCCGGCACGUGCGCUCGCAGCGGCUCCAUUAAAGUAGUGGCGGACGAGAGCGGAACAGCUCAACCGGAAGUGGACUCGGACUAGUACAUCGGCGGUUGCGGAUUUCAGUUUUUUUCUGCUGAUCAGCCCAUGUUGCCGCCACGUGGAGAGAGCUGGAAACAUUCGCCGGUGCGAUCUCCUCGUUUAACGAAAAUUCGAGCGAAUGAGUCGGCCUUCAGGGGAAAGCGUUUGAAACCGAAUCGAACGCGAUCUGUAAAAACGUCACAUUAAUUUGAAACUCUCCGAGAAGCUAUUACGCGUUUGCAGUAACGCGUUUAAAGGGAACGAGGAUCUCCGAUUGUCGCUGUGAUUGGGACUGCCAAUUACUCAAUCGUCUCACCAAUUUUGUAAACGCUUUCAACGAGCUGCUUGUUUGCGGUAGUUGAAACAACCUGCGAUUGUGUGACAGGCUUCAAGAAAUUUUUUCCCCUACCACGAGCUUACGACUCGAGCGCGGUUGCAGGGAGCUUCUCAGCGUGGACUGUGCGCACGCUCGCGCGCUCGUAACUCGAUAAAAACUUUUUGACCAACUCUGCGUACACCAAUGAAUCUCUUCGUUGUUCGAAAUUCAAUGAAUAACGCGCGGUUUCCUCCUCGCUACAUAAAACAAUAUUUUUGCUAAUAAAUCAUCCCCUUUUCUCCCUCAUUCAUUUUAAUUUUUAAGUUUUCGAUUUUCAUUUUAAUUUAAUUGCCAAUGAAAAAUUUACAAGUUUCUUCUUUCCCUUUGUGAAAAUCUUCAAGAUCAAUUGACUUUUCACUGCAAUUCCUAUCGAAGUUUGGAAAAACAUUUUUUACUCUCAUCUUUCGGUUUGGUCGGCGCAACAGAGUUGGCUUUUGUUUCUCUCCCGAUGAGUUGCGAACCACUUUCAGCCGCUAUUACGCUGCUUCGGCUACAAUGUGUGCCCUUCUUCUUCAGUGUCUCAAUGUAGUGACACACCGCGAUGUAAAUCUUCCGUCUACAGUGCCAGCCCAUAGAUCACGUUUUUUUAGCCAGUCCCAUAUAAUAUAAUAAUACUUUUCAUUAUUCUCUUUCUCGCUUUUAUUAGGCCGAGUCGUUCGUAUCGUAAUUUUUUGCUCAACUCUUCGGACCAUUUUUGCUUCGGCGACCAAAAAAAUGUAAAUUUUCAGGCAAAAGCCCUGCUAAAGUUCAAUAUUUUUAAAUAUUCGAUCAAGUGUUUCGCAGAAUCAAUUAUCUCGAGUUUUUUUUCAUCAAAAGCCUGUGUAAGUUGCGAAGAGCCUACAAAAACGGAAGAGUUUGAAAAAACGAGGAAAAGCAUUCGUUAACGCUGACAAAUCGUUCUACUUUUGCGUUAAGUCGCAACCCGACUAUCCAAUUCAGAAGCGAAUUUAUGGGUGCCAACGCGUACUUUAGUUGUAAUUGUAUUUUUGCAGUGUGAUCGAUUGGCGAUGAAAAAAAUGCGCGAUCAAUAUUUCACCGAUUUUUGUCGUUUUUUUUUUUCUAAUUCUUGACACGUGACACGCCACCGAGUCGCUUUUGUUGUUGUUCGUGCUCCUGCACAACUUGCUAACCUUAUUUGAAAACGUAAUAUCUUGUUGCAGUAUUGUCGAGCACGCAAAUAAAGUAUUGUAGCUACCACUGCAUGAUUUCGCAAAGAACUUUGGUAUCUUGCCCUUCGAACAAUGCCUACUCGUGCGCAUUCUGGAUCCACACACAUGUCAGGAGCGAAUUACACACGAGUUCUUUACGUACCGUCAGAAAAAUUAUCGGAUGGUAAACAGAAACCGACUACAGUAUAUAUGCAGAUCGAUGUGAACAACUUGACCCACCGACAUCAACUUUUCGACUUUUUUCUAAUUCUCUUCGUUUGUAUGACGUUUUUGAGCAGAGUAUUGUGGGAUUAGGAAAAGAGGACGUCUGAAAAAAAAAAACAAAAAAGAAAAUCGUAGAAUCUUUUCCGAAUUGAUAAAAAUGCAAAAAGUGCGUUAUCUGACAUAGACAGUUUAAAAUUUUCAAUUUUUUUCGUAGCCUGCACGUGGCUGCGACGCAUUUCGUUUUGAAAACAAAUAAUUCGAAUGCUAAUUAAUAUAUAUGGGCUAUUAUUCUAUAUCAGAUCAAAGGAAUUUUUGAGAUUUUUUUCACAUUUGUUUUCAACCUGCAGGAACGUUUUUUUCAAAAAUUUUAUUCUUACUUUUAUUGUGACGUGAAAAUUUCGAGAAAAACGCAAGUGUAUAAUCUUUUUUUUUUUAAUUAAUUUUAUUUUACGAGCGAGCCGCGGUAAUCGGCAAUUAAAACAGAGAAAGAAGAAUCAUUGAGUGGAGGCGAAGUCGGCAAAGUGGAGGAAGAGAGCUGCCGGAACGUCGCAGAGAAGAAGAAUCGCGAAGAACACGGGGAAAUUCAAAAUCAUCGUGGUGCUCGCGCCCUACUACCCUUGACGUCGUACUCGAAAUGCAUCGGUCAGCAUUGGAAGAAAGAUUGUGAUGAAAGAUCAAAAAUACCACUCGAAAAUUAUGGUGAAUUCGAGAAAGAUCCGAGGCCAAUUGUCGCGAAUUCAAAACGUAGUCGAGGUCAGGUCAUUGAGACUCCCAAAAAUUCGAGAAGAGGCUAAAGGUGGGGGCAAUAACUCCAGAAUGUUUCUCGAAUUAUCGUCGUUUUAGUAGUAGUCAAGAAUUGCCGAAAGGAAUUCGUUAUUUUUGCUCAACUCGAGUCUAAUCUGUAAAAAUAAUUCACAAUUAUUCGUGAGUUGCUUUAGUUGUCAGAAAAUCGGAAAUAUUUCGUUGGGUUUAAUUUGUAUAAACGAGCUCAGUAUUUUCUGAACCGUUGUGAUUCAAAAUUUACAAGUAGAAGCGUAUUUUGUUGUAACAAAAGAAAAUAGAAAGAAACUUUAUUUUUCCGGAAAAAGCAAUAUCCAAAAAUUAAGUUCUCGUUUCAAUAAAAGUCCUUCCGGUUUUGAAAGAUUU